GAGUGAACGCUAGCGGCAGGCUUAAUACAUGCAAGUCGAGGGGCAUCAAGGUACACGAAAGUGUAUUGUUGGCGACCGGCGGACGGGUGAGUAAUAGGUAGGUAACCUACCUCAUACUGAGGCAUAGCUGGGAGAAAUUCCAGGUAAUUCCUCAUGAGGUUAUAUGACACAUGUGAUAUAAUCAAAGGUAUCGCAAGGUACUGGUAUGAGAUGGGCUUACUGACCAUUAGCUAGUUGGUGAGAUAAGAGCUCACCAAGGCGAAGAUGGUUAGGGGUUUUGAGAGAGAGAUCCCCCACAUUGGAACUGAGAUACGGUCCAGACUCCUACGGGAGGCAGCAGUAGGGAAUAUUGGGCAAUGGGCGGAAGCCUGACCCAGCCAUGCCGCGUGAGGGAAGAAGGCCUUCGGGUUGUAAACCUCUGUCAUGGGGGAAGAAGUAAGUGACGGUACCCCAAGAGGAAGCCCCUGCUAACUACGUG
RNAcentral lists this ribosomal RNA (478 nucleotides) under uncultured bacterium. Its description in RNAcentral is "bacterial SSU rRNA". It matches the Rfam family "Bacterial small subunit ribosomal RNA", at positions 27 to 507 of the family's 1533-position model. The record is from RNAcentral.